This 497-nucleotide ribosomal RNA is filed under the name uncultured bacterium. Its description in RNAcentral is "partial 16S ribosomal RNA". It matches the Rfam family "Bacterial small subunit ribosomal RNA", at positions 28 to 507 of the family's 1533-position model. The record is from RNAcentral.
GAGGAAAGAGGGCGGCGUGCCUAAUACAUGCAAGUCGAGCGAACAGACGAGGAGCUUGCUCCUCUGACGUUAGCGGCGGACGGGUGAGUAACACGUGGAUAACCUACCUAUAAGACUGGGAUAACUUCGGGAAACCGGAGCUAAUACCGGAUAAUAUAUUGAACCGCAUGGUUCAAUAGUGAAAGACGGUUUUGCUGUCACUUAUAGAUGGAUCCGCGCCGCAUUAGCUAGUUGGUAAGGUAACGGCUUACCAAGGCAACGAUGCGUAGCCGACCUGAGAGGGUGAUCGGCCACACUGGAACUGAGACACGGUCCAGACUCCUACGGGAGGCAGCAGUAGGGAAUCUUCCGCAAUGGGCGAAAGCCUGACGGAGCAACGCCGCGUGAGUGAUGAAGGUCUUCGGAUCGUAAAACUCUGUUAUUAGGGAAGAACAAAUGUGUAAGUAACUAUGCACGUCUUGACGGUACCUAAUCAGAAAGCCACGGCUAACUACGUG